UCCCCCUGGCAAUAGGCAAAGAGACACCCUGUCGGUGAUGUUGGUUUUAUAUCAGUCAGAGGCAGAGAGGGUGGCAGACCUUUGCUUAUCCUAGCUUGACGCAUGGCUUAGUGGUCAAAGCUAUCUUAUGUCUAGGACUCAUAA
Small nucleolar RNA from Mastomys coucha (southern multimammate mouse), 144 nucleotides. RefSeq annotates it as small nucleolar RNA SNORA48. The record is from RefSeq and is a predicted model, not a curated record. The transcript has a single exon. Lineage: Eukaryota; Metazoa; Chordata; Mammalia; Rodentia; Muridae.